CCCUUAGAGUUUGAUCCUGGCUCAGGAUGAACGCUGGCGGCGUGCUUAACACAUGCAAGUCGAACGGGAAACCUUUUAUUGAAGCUUCGGCAGAUUUAGCUGGUUUCUAGUGGCGGACGGGUGAGUAACGCGUGGGUAACCUGCCUUAUACAGGGGGAUAACAACCAGAAAUGGUUGCUAAUACCGCAUAAGCGCACAGGACCGCAUGGUCUGGUGUGAAAAACUCCGGUGGUAUAAGAUGGACCCGCGUUGGAUUAGCUAGUUGGCAGGGUAACGGCCUACCAAGGCGACGAUCCAUAGCCGGCCUGAGAGGGUGAACGGCCACAUUGGGACUGAGACACGGCCCAGACUCCUACGGGAGGCAGCAGUGGGGAAUAUUGCACAAUGGGGGAAACCCUGAUGCAGCGACGCCGCGUGAAGGAAGAAGUAUCUCGGUAUGUAAACUUCUAUCAGCAGGGAAGAU
Molecule: ribosomal RNA, 463 nt
Filed under: uncultured bacterium
Lineage: Bacteria
Description: bacterial SSU rRNA
Rfam family: Bacterial small subunit ribosomal RNA
Source: RNAcentral